UACGUAGGGCGCAAGCGUUGUCCGGAAUUAUUGGGCGUAAAGGGCUCGUAGGCGGCGUGUCGCGUCGGGAGUGAAAGCCCGUUGCUUAACGGCGGGUUGGCUUUCGGUACGGGCAUGCUGGAGUGCGGCAGGGAGACUGGAAUUCCUGGUGUAGCAGUGAAAUGCGUAGAUAUCAGGAGGAAUACCGAUGGCGAAGGCAGGUCUCUGGGCUAGAACUGACGCUCAUGCACGAAAGCGUGGGGAGCAAACAGG
This 252-nucleotide ribosomal RNA is filed under the name uncultured bacterium. Its description in RNAcentral is "partial 16S ribosomal RNA". It matches the Rfam family "Bacterial small subunit ribosomal RNA", at positions 524 to 776 of the family's 1533-position model. The record is from RNAcentral.